AACGAACGCUGGCGGCGUGGAUUAGGCAUGCAAGUCGAACGCGAAAGAGGGAGCAAUCCCUCAAGUAGAGUGGCGAACGGGUGAGUAACGCGUGAAGAACCUGCCUUCAACAGGGGGAUAACACUCCCAACGGGGUGCUAAUACCGCAUGAGACCACGGGUCCGCAUGGACCUGAGGUCAAAGGUGGCCUCUGCUUGCAAGCUACCGGUUGAAGAUGGCUUCGCGUCCCAUAGCUAGUUGGCGGUGUAAAAGACCACCAAGGCGACGAUGGGUAGCUGGUCUGAGAGGAUGGUCAGCCACACUGGGACUGAGAUACGGCCCAGACUCCUACGGGAGGCAGCAGUCGAGAGGCUUUGGCAAUGGGGAAACCCUGACCAAGCGACGCCGCGUGGAGGAUGAAGGCCCUU
This 407-nucleotide ribosomal RNA is filed under the name uncultured bacterium. RNAcentral describes it as "bacterial SSU rRNA". It matches the Rfam family "Bacterial small subunit ribosomal RNA", at positions 29 to 419 of the family's 1533-position model. The record is from RNAcentral.